GACGAACGCUGGCGGCGUGCUUAACACAUGCAAGUCGAGCGGAAAGGCCCUUCGGGGUACUCGAGCGGCGAACGGGUGAGUAACACGUGAGUAACCUGCCCCAGACUUUGGGAUAACCCUCGGAAACGGGGGCUAAUACCGGAUACGACACAGCUUCGCAUGGGGUCUGUGUGGAAAGUUUUUCGGUUUGGGAUGGGCUCGCGGCCUAUCAGCUUGUUGGUGGGGUGAUGGCCUACCAAGGCGACGACGGGUAGCCGGCCUGAGAGGGCGACCGGCCACACUGGGACUGAGACACGGCCCAGACGCCUACGGGAGGCAGCAGUGGGGAAUAUUGCACAAUGGGCGGAAGCCUGAUUCAGCGACGCCGCGUGAGGGAUGACGGCCUUCGGGUGGUAAACCUCUUUCAGCAGGGACGAAGCGUAAGUGACGGUACCUGCAGAAGAAGCGCCGGCCAACUACGUG
This 462-nucleotide ribosomal RNA is filed under the name uncultured bacterium. RNAcentral's name for it is "partial 16S ribosomal RNA". It matches the Rfam family "Bacterial small subunit ribosomal RNA", at positions 28 to 507 of the family's 1533-position model. The record is from RNAcentral.